This 879-nucleotide ribosomal RNA is filed under the name uncultured bacterium. RNAcentral describes it as "bacterial SSU rRNA". It matches the Rfam family "Bacterial small subunit ribosomal RNA", at positions 8 to 916 of the family's 1533-position model. The record is from RNAcentral.
AGAGUUUGAUCAUGGCUCAGGAUGAACGCUGGCGGCGUGCCUAACACAUGCAAGUCGAGCGAUUUACUUCGGUAAAGAGCGGCGGACGGGUGAGUAACGCGUGGGUAACCUGCCUCAUACACAUGGAUAACAUACCGAAAGGUAUGCUAAUACAAGAUAAUAUAAGAGAUUCGCAUGGGCCUCUUAUCAAAGCUCCGGCGGUAUGAGAUGGACCCGCGUCUGAUUAGCUAGUUGGUAAGGUAACGGCUUACCAAGGCGACGAUCAGUAGCCGACCUGAGAGGGUGAUCGGCCACAUUGGAACUGAGACACGGUCCAAACUCCUACGGGAGGCAGCAGUGGGGAAUAUUGCACAAUGGGCGAAAGCCUGAUGCAGCAACGCCGCGUGAGCGAUGAAGGCCUUCGGGUCGUAAAGCUCUGUCCUCAAGGAAGGUAAUGACGGUACUUGAGGAGGAAGCCCCGGCUAACUACGUGCCAGCAGCCGCGGUAAUACGUAGGGGGCUAGCGUUAUCCGGAUUUACUGGGCGUAAAGGGUGCGUAGGUGGUUUCUUAAGUCAGGAGUGAAAGGCUACGGCUCAACCGUAGUAAGCUCUUGAAACUGGGAAACUUGAGUGCAGGAGAGGAAAGUGGAAUUCCUAGUGUAGCGGUGAAAUGCGUAGAUAUUAGGAGGAACACCAGUAGCGAAGGCGGCUUUCUGGACUGUAACUGACACUGAGGCACGAAAGCGUGGGGAGCAAACAGGAUUAGAUACCCUGGUAGUCCACGCCGUAAACGAUGAGUACUAUGUGUCGGGGGUUACCCCCCUCGGUGCCGCAGCUAACGCAUUAAGUACUCCGCCUGGGGAGUACGCUCGCAAGAGUGAAACUCAAAGGAAUUGACGG